UACGGGGGGGGCAAGCGUUGUUCGGAAUUACUGGGCGUAAAGGGCGCGUAGGCGGUGCUCUAAGUCGGAUGUGAAAACUCUGGGCUCAACCCAGAGCCUGCAUCCGAAACUGGAGUGCUAGAGUUCUGGAGGGGGUAGCGGAAUUCCUGGUGUAGCGGUGAAAUGCGUAGAUAUCAGGAGGAACACCAAUAGCGAAGGCAGCUCGCUGGGACGGUAUUGACGCUAAGGCGCGAAAGCGUGGGGAGCAAACAGG
This 253-nucleotide ribosomal RNA is filed under the name uncultured bacterium. Its description in RNAcentral is "partial 16S ribosomal RNA". It matches the Rfam family "Bacterial small subunit ribosomal RNA", at positions 524 to 776 of the family's 1533-position model. The record is from RNAcentral.